UAUUACUUGAUUGAUUAAAUUAAAAGGCUACCAAUCUUACCUAUAAUGGCAGCAUUCAUGGAACCCGGUGUGAACCCGGGACAGUUGGCGCUGCGGUAACUGAGCACAAAUCUCCAAUACCAAUCUUAAGAUUUCUUAGGGUGAAGGUGGAGAGGAGGCUAUGACUCAGGAGUCCGAAUACUUGAUUUUGUCAUUAGCGAUAA
RNAcentral lists this non-coding RNA (203 nucleotides) under Verrucomicrobiaceae bacterium. The record is from RNAcentral. Lineage: Bacteria; Pseudomonadati; Verrucomicrobiota; Verrucomicrobiia; Verrucomicrobiales; Verrucomicrobiaceae.